This 877-nucleotide long non-coding RNA is filed under the name Helianthus annuus (common sunflower). The record is from RNAcentral. Lineage: Eukaryota; Viridiplantae; Streptophyta; Magnoliopsida; Asterales; Asteraceae.
AUGGGUCAUUGACACCACCAAUUAAGGCUUUAUUGCACUCAUUGCAUAUAUUAAGUUUUGGAGGCUUUAGACUUCCUGAUGAUCAAGAAUUGCAUCUCUACUAUGAGGACUGCUAUCAACCCUUCUGGAUGAAGAUACCGCAUGAAACAUGUGUACAGACUGGAUAACUAGUAUGGCUGUCCGCAUUAUUUGUCUUGCACUGGAACCACCACCAUAAUUCUCAGCAGGGGGUGAUAACGGCAACUGCAUUUCAAGGUCCAUAUGAGGAUCAUUAACCUCUUGCAUCCUGUACAGUACAGCACAAAUCCAACUAUAAAUAGGCACACAAUAUACAGAUUAAUAUUAUGAUAUGCCAGAAAUUAUUUUUUGGUAACAAAAACCGUGAUUGAUGACCUACCUUGUUCAAAGACAGAGAGAAAUAGAAAGAUGCUGCGAAUGCUUGCUAUGUAAAGGCCAAAGGGUGUGUAAUUAUAUAUAGGCAGAAAAGAGAGAAGAGGGAUACCACACGCGGCAUGGUGCAUGGUUGUGUUAUUACUUUUAAAUUUCAAGGAUAUUCAAUUACAGCAUCCAUGAAAUGCAACAAUCAUAUCUACGAAAGUCUAAUAGAUAUUGCAACGAAUAUACACGAAUAAAAAGUAUGUAUGAUUGGUCAAUUUGUCGACAAUGAAAUAUGCAAAUGUUAUAUAUACAUAUAUAUAGGGUGAGCAUCAAUAGGAAGUUUAUUUUGGCUAAGAAGGAUAGAAAACAAAAUAUAAUUAUGACAUGUGGCAAAAUUUAAAAUAAAAAAAAAGGGUAUUUUAGUCAAUUUUACUCAAUCUUCUCCCUUCUUCUUCUCUCUGUAACUUCAAAACCCAUCAUUUUCAAAAUCCACCAUCUU